RNAcentral lists this ribosomal RNA (503 nucleotides) under uncultured Glomus. RNAcentral describes it as "SSU rRNA". It matches the Rfam family "Eukaryotic small subunit ribosomal RNA", at positions 569 to 1077 of the family's 1831-position model. The record is from RNAcentral. Lineage: Eukaryota; Fungi; Glomeromycota; Glomeromycetes; Glomerales; Glomeraceae.
CGCAGCCGCGGUAAUUCCAGCUCCAAUAGCGUAUAUUAAAGUUGUUGCAGUUAAAAAGCUCGUAGUUGAAUUUCGGGAUCAAUAUGUUGGUCGUGCCUUGGUACGUACUGGCAUUAUCGAUUCCUACCUUCUGAAGAACCUCGAUGUCAUUAAUUUGGUGUCUUGGGGAAUCAGGACUGUUACUUUGAAAAAAUUAGAGUGUUUAAAGCAGGCUCGCGCUUGAAUACAUUAGCAUGGAAUAAUGAAAUAGGGCGUUUGAUUCUAUUUUGUUGGUUUCUAGGAUCGACGUAAUGAUUAAUAGGGAUAGUUGGGGGCAUUAGUAUUCAAUUGUCAGAGGUGAAAUUCUUGGAUUUAUUGAAGACUAACUACUGCGAAAGCAUUUGCCAAGGAUGUUUUCAUUAAUCAAGAACGAAAGUUAGGGGAUCGAAGACGAUCAGAUACCGUCGUAGUCUUAACCAUAAACUAUGCCGACUAGGGAUCGGAUGAUGUUAAUUUUUUAAUGA